CCUACGGGAGGCAGCAGUGAGGAAUAUUGGUCAAUGGGCGCUAGCCUGAACCAGCCAAGUAGCGUGAAGGAUGACUGCCCUCUGGGUUGUAAACUUCUUUUAUAUGGGAAUAAAGUGCAGUAUGUAUACUGCUUUGCAUGUCCCUUAUGAAUAAGGCUCGGCUAACUCCGUGCCAGCAGCCGCGGUAAUACGGAGGAUCCGAGCGUUAUCCGGAUUUAUUGGGGUUAAAGGGAGCGUAGGCGGGUUGGUAAGUCAGUUGUGAAAGUUUGCGGCUAAACCGUAAAAUUGCAGUUGAUACUGGCAUCCUUGAGUAUAGUAGAGGUAGGUGGAAUUCGUGGUGUAGCGGUGAAAUGCUUAGAGAUCACGAAGAACUCUGAUUGCGAAGGCAGCCUGCUGGACUGUAACUGACGCUGAUGCUCGAAAGUGUGGGUAGCAAACAGGAUUAGAUACCCCAGUAGUC
RNAcentral lists this ribosomal RNA (460 nucleotides) under uncultured bacterium. Its description in RNAcentral is "partial 16S ribosomal RNA". It matches the Rfam family "Bacterial small subunit ribosomal RNA", at positions 338 to 795 of the family's 1533-position model. The record is from RNAcentral.